RNAcentral lists this ribosomal RNA (249 nucleotides) under uncultured Actinomycetales bacterium. RNAcentral describes it as "partial 16S ribosomal RNA". It matches the Rfam family "Bacterial small subunit ribosomal RNA", at positions 84 to 334 of the family's 1533-position model. The record is from RNAcentral. Lineage: Bacteria; Bacillati; Actinomycetota; Actinomycetes; Actinomycetales.
GGGGUGCUCGAGUGGCGAACGGGUGAGUAACACGUGAGUAACCUGCCCUUGACUUUGGGAUAACUUCAGGAAACUGGGGCUAAUACCGGAUAGGAGCUCCUGCUGCAUGGUGGGGGUUGGAAAGUUUCGGCGGUUGGGGAUGGACUCGCGGCCUAUCAGCUUGUUGGUGGGGUAGUGGCCUACCAAGGCGGCGACGGGUAGCCGGCCUGAGAGGGUGACCGGCCACAUUGGGACUGAGAUACGGCCCAG